This 721-nucleotide long non-coding RNA is filed under the name Homo sapiens (human). RNAcentral's name for it is "HSALNT0292620". Lineage: Eukaryota; Metazoa; Chordata; Mammalia; Primates; Hominidae. The record is from RNAcentral.
GGCCAGCGUUGGUUUCUCGUCUGGACUACUGUUUGCAAACUGCUGACUUACAAAAUGGUAACAGCCUCCUAACAAUGGGUGAAUCUACAGGAUGUCAAGCAGCAACUCUCAGGUGAACCACUCAGUCAGUGGAUCUGGUGUUAACUAUACAAUGCCAAAUGUCUUCUGGUGAUCUGAAGACAUCAGGGGCUUUUCUAUCAUGUAGACCAAACAUGAUUCAGGUGCAAAAAAGGGCCUGGAAGACUGCGUACGGAAAAAUGGGGCAGCAGUGUGAGAGUAUUCUGAAACAACGCGAAGACAGAAAUAGCAGCGCCGACAGAGUUGCAGAACUCCAGAGCCAGAAGGAUGAUAUCUCAACAAAUGACAGAGCCCAAUUCAUUGACUCCAAUAAGAACGACACGCGUCUAUUAUAACUUUACAAGAUGGAAAGUACAUACAGAAAAAUUUUGAAGUUUUAAGAGUUAAAUCUUAUAGUCCUAUAUGAAAGAAUGGAUCAGCAAAUUCAAAUAUUCAUAUCUUAUUGGGCUCUAUUUCCUGUAUUUUUCUCACAUGCCACUCUUUUAAAAUAGGUAUCUAUGUAUGUGUCAACAACCUUUGAAUAAGCCAGAGCAACUAGGCAAGAAAAAAAAAAAAGAACAGCUAAACUGGAAAGAAGGAAGUCAAAUUAUCCCUGUUUGUAGAUGACAUGGUCACAUAUAUAGAGAAACCUAAACAUUCUACC